CACACUCCAAGCGAAGCUUGAUGUUGGACGAUACGGUUCUCUGUUCGGGAGGAUCGUACGUCUGGAACACGUAGGCGCCUACCGCCGGAUCACGAGCGUAUGCAAGACAUUAUCAGUCAAUUUCGUUCAGUGAGUUUCCGACGGAGGGCGGCCUCAUUAUUUUCUGCAUCUCAGAAA
Molecule: unclassified non-coding RNA, 177 nt
Filed under: uncultured Ascomycota
Lineage: Eukaryota; Fungi; Ascomycota
Description: sequence contains ITS2
Source: RNAcentral